This 722-nucleotide long non-coding RNA is filed under the name Capsicum annuum. RNAcentral's name for it is "long non-coding RNA (CANN_LNC009541)". The record is from RNAcentral. Lineage: Eukaryota; Viridiplantae; Streptophyta; Magnoliopsida; Solanales; Solanaceae.
AGAAAUUUCCUCUCCAAAAUUUUAAAACCUAAUUAAAUUCUUCCUUCUACUUAACAAACACUAAAAGUCACAUCUCAUCCCCAUCCCCCCUCUCCCUUCCUCUACGCCCCUUACCCUUUCUCUUCUCCGUUUUUAUUUGAUUUGAAAUUCUUAUAAAAUAUUGCUGAUUAAUUUAUUUUUGUAGGUUUUACAACGUGAACUUCUCCAAGUAGCAUAUAAGUAUUGCAUUGAAUUGUGAUGUAUUUUUAAAUUUUAAGGUAAUAUAUUUUUCUAUGUGAAUUUUAAAAGUGAUACUGAGAUUAAAAAUUUUCUGUUUAUGAACUUACACUAGAUAUAUUUUCGUUGUUGUAUUGAAAUUUAAAAGCAAUAUCUACAAGUUUUACGAAGUUGAAAACGUCUAAAGGUUUGUUUACUUAUUUGGUUGCUUUGUAUUUUUUUUUUUUUUUUAUUUUUUGUAAAAAAAUUACCUAAAGCAUAUACUUUUUCUCCUUGAAAUACUAUACAUAUACAUAAACAUGCAUAUAUAAUUGGUAUGUCUAGAUUUUCUUGAUGCUAAAUUACUUUACUAUAAUUGAUAGGCUGAAAUAAGAGCAUAUAAAUGGCAAAUUAGGAUGAAUGCUGAUCAAGUUGAGGUGCAAUUGAAGACUAAAAAAAGAGAGAGCAGGAGAUUGUGUUGCUUUGAACUCAAAUAAGAUGGUGUCUCAAAAGAAGUGUAUAGUGUG